AUUUUAUGUGUUGAGAACCAUGAGGAGUGGGAUCCAUCUUUACUCACUCGGCAGUAAUUAAUCCUCCCUGUUGAUGAAGAGCAUGCUAUCAAUCAUGGAGGUCUGCUACAUUUGAAUAUCCUCUGCUACAUCUUGAGCCUUCCUUAAGUGUCACACAAUAAUUCAUUGGAAGAAACAAGUGCCUUAAAGGUGGAGGAUCUUUCCGAAUUGACAAGAGGAAACUUCAAAGGGAGCACUGCAAACCAUCCAUGCAGAAGUUA
Chiloscyllium plagiosum (whitespotted bambooshark) is the source of this 260-nucleotide long non-coding RNA. RefSeq lists it as uncharacterized. NCBI's taxonomy places the organism in Eukaryota, Metazoa, Chordata, Chondrichthyes, Orectolobiformes, Hemiscylliidae. The record is from RefSeq and is a predicted model, not a curated record.